GUGCCAGCCGCCGCGGUAAUACGGGGGGAGCAAGCGUUGUUCGGAUUUACUGGGCGUAAAGGGCGCGUAGGCGGCCAGCGCAAGUCAGUUGUGAAAUCUCCGGGCUUAACUCGGAAAGGUCAACUGAUACUGCGCGGCUAGAGUGCAGAAGGGGCAACUGGAAUUCUCGGUGUAGCGGUGAAAUGCGUAGAUAUCGAGAGGAACACCUGCGGCGAAGGCGGGUUGCUGGGCUGACACUGACGCUGAUGCGCGAAAGCCAGGGGAGCGAACGGGAUUAGAUACCCUCGUAGUCC
RNAcentral lists this ribosomal RNA (293 nucleotides) under uncultured bacterium. RNAcentral describes it as "partial 16S ribosomal RNA". It matches the Rfam family "Bacterial small subunit ribosomal RNA", at positions 505 to 796 of the family's 1533-position model. The record is from RNAcentral.